GGAGUGGGCCGGGCCGCCGCCGGCAUCCUUCGGGAUGCGGGAGGAAAGUCCGGGCUCCACAGGGCAGGGCGCCGGGUAACCCCCGGCGGGGGCGACCCCAGGGACAGUGCCACAGAGAGCAGACCGCCGGCCGGGAGCAAUCCGCCGGCAAGGGUGAAAGGGUGCGGUAAGAGCGCACCGCGCCUCCCGGUAACGGGAGGCGGCAUGGUAAACCCCGCCUGGAGCAAGACCGAAUAGAGGGGCACAUGGGAUGGCCCAUCCCGCCCCCGGGUAGGUUGCUUGAGGUGACCGGUAACGGUCAUCCUAGAGGAAUGGCGGCCAUCCCGGCUUGACGACCGGGAAACAGAACCCGGCUUACAGGCCCACUCCCUUU
Molecule: RNase P RNA, 373 nt
Filed under: Magnetococcales bacterium
Lineage: Bacteria; Pseudomonadati; Pseudomonadota; Magnetococcia; Magnetococcales
Description: RNase P RNA component class A
Rfam family: Bacterial RNase P class A
About the family: Ribonuclease P (RNase P) is a ubiquitous endoribonuclease, found in archaea, bacteria and eukarya as well as chloroplasts and mitochondria. Its best characterised activity is the generation of mature 5'-ends of tRNAs by cleaving the 5'-leader elements of precursor-tRNAs.
Source: RNAcentral